GUUUGAAAUCCGUGAUAAAAGAAUUACGUUUUAUGAGUAUAAAGUGACUUAUAGACCCAAUGGGUCGGGUGUAUUUCAUUGUGUAUGUCAUAUAUUUGUACUUUACUGAUCUGUGAUUACACAUGUCACUAUAAUAAAAAUUUACUUACUUACUUACUUACUAUAUAUUCGUAAGUAAAAACAUCAAAUUAUUACUGUGGAAAAACCUAUUGAAUUUCUUCUGAUUAUUUUUUUUUCUUCCGCCAAAUUUUGUUCUUGCGAUAAACAUUUGUUUCGCAAUAUGUCGCUUAGAUAUUUGGAAUAUGAUAUCGAACAGUUUAUGCGCUUUUGAAAUUUACCCUGCAUAACCGAAUAAUUUUCUUUGUAGGAGUUAUCUCCCCAAACACUGUUUUCCUUGUAAUCGUAAAAGAAUGCAACAAAUUUAUUUUAUAAAAUUGCUCAUCACAUCCUUUGCCUGAUUUGUCCUAUUUUGACCGAAGCAAUAUGAACGCUCCAUAUGAGAGUUAUUUCCCCUUAUGCAUUUGAUAUAAGUGAUAUGCAUUUCUAUCUUGUAAACCAUAAGUGAUAGAGACCUAAGAUUUUUAGAUUUGAGGUCCUUGGUAUAAAAAAAUGAAAAUUAGGUCAAGGUCAAAG
RNAcentral lists this long non-coding RNA (633 nucleotides) under Mytilus galloprovincialis (Mediterranean mussel). Lineage: Eukaryota; Metazoa; Mollusca; Bivalvia; Mytilida; Mytilidae. The record is from RNAcentral.